This is a long non-coding RNA of Nicotiana attenuata, 212 nucleotides long. RefSeq lists it as uncharacterized. The record is from RefSeq and is a predicted model, not a curated record. NCBI's taxonomy places the organism in Eukaryota, Viridiplantae, Streptophyta, Magnoliopsida, Solanales, Solanaceae. The transcript is spliced from 4 exons.
GUGAAAGAUUUUUAUGAGGUGCUUGGCGUCAAUCGGAAUGCAACUGCAUCUGAAAUCAAGAAAGCUUAUUAUGGGCUUGCAAAGCGACUGCAUCCAGAUAUGAACAAAGAUGAUCCAGAUGCUGAAAAAAAGUUUCAGGAAGUUCAAAAGGCUUAUGAGGUUCUGAAGGAUGAGAAAGCACGUGAACAAUAUGAUCAGCUUGGGCAUGAUGC